UCCUCCUCCUCCUACUGAGCUACCCCUUUAGCUUUACAUGACUCUGUUCCUUUUCUUCUUUCUUUGGUGCUUUUUCAGUUCUUCUUUCUCUGUCCAGCCACAUGAUGUUCUUCCUUUUCAUUGUGCUGAUGACGAGGGCUUCGUUCAUGGCACAAGGGUUCCAAAUUUAUCAACCUUCUAUCUAUCUGUCAAAGCAAAUUUCUCUCGAGAUCUCGGAUCUCAUCAUAGCUAAUGUUGCGCGUGAGAAGCUAGCAGUGGUGGGUUUCAGUACGAAGCUUGCAGUCGUUCUAUGAUCCUAAUUUUCUUAAUACAAUGGUUCUAUGAUCCUAAUGAAGGCAUCAAGAACCAUUAUUGUAUUUGAAAGAAGAAUGUGAAUAAUGGAAGUGAAGGUAGAGUUCGAAGAAGGGGGUUCAUGGGAGAAAUAAUAAUCGAAGAUGUAAAAGUCGGAUGCAACACAAGUAUUUCCAUGGCUUCUCUGGGAUGUUCAGUGACAUAUUACUUGGCUUCUACAGCUAAGUCCAUGUUUCCUGGUUUUGCUUCUCAGUUUGGAGUUCUCUGGCUGUUGCCACUUUGAUAUCCUUGACUCUGCAACUUCCAUGGUGGUCUGUGCCGUUCAGUGUAAUAUCAAUAGUAGGAAUCAUUAAGGUGGCACUUUUAAAAUGGAGCCAAAAACUUUUUUUUUUUUUCAAUUUUAAACACUUAAUUUUUACCUAAGUCAUGAAUCAAGUCAAUAGAGUCAUUAUUAGAGAGGAA
Long non-coding RNA from Prosopis cineraria, 753 nucleotides. RefSeq lists it as uncharacterized. The record is from RefSeq and is a predicted model, not a curated record. The transcript has 3 exons. NCBI's taxonomy places the organism in Eukaryota, Viridiplantae, Streptophyta, Magnoliopsida, Fabales, Fabaceae.